AACGAACGCUGGCGGCAGGCCUAACACAUGCAAGUCGAGCGCGCCUUCGGGUGAGCGGCGGACGGGUGAGUAACGCGUGGGAAUAUGCCCUUCUCUACGGAAUACUCCUGGGAAACUGGGGGUAAUACCGUAUACGCCCUUUGGGGGAAAGAUUUAUCGGGGAAGGAUUAGCCCGCGUUGGAUUAGGUAGUUGGUGGGGUAAUGGCCUACCAAGCCGACGAUCCAUAGCUGGUUUGAGAGGAUGAUCAGCCACACUGGGACUGAGACACGGCCCAGACUCCUACGGGAGGCAGCAGUGGGGAAUCUUAGACAAUGGGGGCAACCCUGAUCUAGCCAUGCCGCGUGAGUGAUGAAGGCCUUAGGGUUGUAAAGCUCUUUCAGCUGGGAAGAUAAUGACGGUACCAGCAGAAGAAGCCCCGGCUAACUCCGUG
This 431-nucleotide ribosomal RNA is filed under the name uncultured bacterium. Its description in RNAcentral is "partial 16S ribosomal RNA". It matches the Rfam family "Bacterial small subunit ribosomal RNA", at positions 29 to 507 of the family's 1533-position model. The record is from RNAcentral.